AACGUAGGAGGCGAGCGUUAUCCGGAGUUACUGGGCGUAAAGAGCGUGUAGGCGGGUAUGCAAGUUUGGCGUGAAAGCUCCCGGCUAAACUGGGAGACUGCGUUGAAGACUGCGUAUCUAGAGGCAAGUAGAGGGACGUGGAAUUCCGGGUGUAGUGGUGAAAUGCAUAGAGAUCCGGAGGAACACCAGUGGCGAAGGCGACGUCCUGGGCUUGACCUGACGCUGAGACGCGACAGCACGGGGAGCGAACGGG
This 253-nucleotide ribosomal RNA is filed under the name uncultured bacterium. RNAcentral describes it as "partial 16S ribosomal RNA". It matches the Rfam family "Bacterial small subunit ribosomal RNA", at positions 524 to 776 of the family's 1533-position model. The record is from RNAcentral.